ACCUGGGAAGUACGGCCGCAAGGCUGAAACUUAAAAGGAAUUGGCGGGGGGAGCACUACAACGGGUGGAGCCUGCGGUUUAAUUGGAUUCAACGCCGGAAAUCUCACCGGGGGCGACAGCAUGAUGAAGGCCAGGCUGAAGACCUUGCCUGAUCCGCUGAGAGGUGGUGCAUGGCCGUCGUCAGUUCGUACUGUGAAGCAUCCUGUUAAGUCAGGCAACGAGCGAGACCCACGCCCACAGUUGCCAGCGAGCCCUUCGGGGUGGCGGGUACUCUGUGGGGACCGCCGCUGCUAAAGCGGAGGAAGGAAUGGGCAACGGUAGGUCAGUAUGCCCCGAAUCUCCCGGGCUACACGCGGGCUACAAUGGUCGGUACAAUGGGUAUCUACCCCGAGAGGGGAUGGAAAUCUCCUAAAACCGGUCGUAGUUCGGAUUGAGGGCUGCAACUCGCCCUCAUGAAGCUGGAAUCCGUAGUAAUCGCGUUUCAACAGAACGCGGUGAAUACGUCCCUGCUCCUUGCACACACCGCCCGUCAAACCACCCGAGUAGGGUCUGGAUAAGGGUGCGCCAUGUUGACGCAUUCGAAUCUGGGCUUUGCAAGGGGGGUUAAGUCGUAACAAGGUAACCAAGGGCGAAU
RNAcentral lists this ribosomal RNA (634 nucleotides) under uncultured archaeon. RNAcentral describes it as "bacterial SSU rRNA". It matches the Rfam family "Archaeal small subunit ribosomal RNA", at positions 826 to 1458 of the family's 1478-position model. The record is from RNAcentral.